RNAcentral lists this ribosomal RNA (460 nucleotides) under uncultured bacterium. RNAcentral's name for it is "SSU rRNA". It matches the Rfam family "Bacterial small subunit ribosomal RNA", at positions 26 to 518 of the family's 1533-position model. The record is from RNAcentral.
AGAAUCAACGCUGGCGGCGUGCCUAACACAUGCAAGUCGCACGAGAAAGGGACUUCGGUCCUGAGUACAGUGGCGCACGGGUGAGUAACACGUGAAUAAUCUACCUCCGAGUGGGGAAUAACUGAGAGAAAUCUUAGCUAAUACCGCAUAACACUUACGAGCCAAAGCAGCAAUGCGCUUGGAGAGGAGUUCGCGGCAGAUUAGUUAGUUGGCGGGGUAAUGGCCCACCAAGACGAUGAUCUGUAUCCGGCCUGAGAGGGCGCACGGACACACUGGAACUGAAACACGGUCCAGACUCCUACGGGAGGCAGCAGUGGGGAAUUUUGCGCAAUGGGGGAAACCCUGACGCAGCAACGCCGCGUGGAGGAUGAAAUCCCUUGGGAUGUAAACUCCUUUCGAUAGGGAAGAUAAUGACGGUACCUAUAGAAGAAGCCCCGGCUAACUUCGUGCCAGCAGCCGC